Molecule: small nuclear RNA, 164 nt
Organism: Otolemur garnettii (small-eared galago)
Lineage: Eukaryota; Metazoa; Chordata; Mammalia; Primates; Galagidae
Gene: U1
Rfam family: U1 spliceosomal RNA
About the family: U1 is a small nuclear RNA (snRNA) component of the spliceosome (involved in pre-mRNA splicing).
Source: Ensembl
AUACUUACCUGGCAAGGGAGAUAUCAUGAUCACAAAGGUGAUUUUCCCAGGGCGAGGCUUAUCCAUUGCAGUCCGGAUGUGCUGACCUCUGCGAUUUCCCCAAAUGUGCAAAUCUCAACUGCAUAAUUUGAGGUAGUGGGGAACUGCAGGCGUGCUUUCCCCUU